This 490-nucleotide ribosomal RNA is filed under the name uncultured bacterium. Its description in RNAcentral is "partial 16S ribosomal RNA". It matches the Rfam family "Bacterial small subunit ribosomal RNA", at positions 28 to 507 of the family's 1533-position model. The record is from RNAcentral.
GAUGAACGCUCGCGAUAGGCUUAACACAUGCAAGUCGAGGGGCAGCAUGGUCUUAGCUUGCUAAGGCUGAUGGCGACCGGCGCACGGGUGCGUAACGCGUAUGCAACUUGCCUCACAGAGGGGGAUAACCCGUCGAAAGACGGACUAAUACCGCGUACACUCUAUGUUGGGCAUCCAAUGUAGAGGAAAUGAAAUUCGCUGUGAGAUAGGCAUGCGUCCCAUUAGCUAGUUGGUGAGGUAACGGCUCACCAAGGCGACGAUGGGUAGGGGAACUGAGAGGUUGAACCCCCACACUGGUACUGAGACACGGACCAGACUCCUACGGGAGGCAGCAGUGAGGAAUAUUGGUGAAUGGGCGAGAGCCUGAACCAGCCAAGUCGCGUGAAGGAUGACUGUCUUAUGGAUUGUAAACUUCUUUUAGACGGGAAUAACAAGAGUCACGUGUGGCUCCCUGCAUGUACCGUAUGAAUAAGCAUCGGCUAACUCCGUG